AUACGGAGGGGGUUAGCGUUGUUCGGAAUUACUGGGCGUAAAGCGCACGUAGGCGGACUGGAAAGUUGGGGGUGAAAUCCCGGGGCUCAACCCCGGAACUGCCUCCAAAACUUCCAAUCUAGAGAUCGAGAGAGGUGAGUGGAAUUCCAAGUGUAGAGGGGAAAUUCGUAGAUAUUUGGAGGAACACCAGUGGCGAAGGCGGCUCACUGGCUCGAUACUGACGCUGAGGUGCGAAAGCGUGGGGAGCAAACAGGAUUAGAAACCCUAGUAGUCC
RNAcentral lists this ribosomal RNA (274 nucleotides) under uncultured bacterium. RNAcentral describes it as "partial 16S ribosomal RNA". It matches the Rfam family "Bacterial small subunit ribosomal RNA", at positions 523 to 796 of the family's 1533-position model. The record is from RNAcentral.